Molecule: long non-coding RNA, 489 nt
Organism: Peromyscus californicus insignis
Lineage: Eukaryota; Metazoa; Chordata; Mammalia; Rodentia; Cricetidae
Exons: 2
Source: RefSeq, a predicted model, not a curated record
CUGUUACAAAAGUGGGGAGUAGGAGAAAGGAAACAUUGCUAGGAAGCAAUGAUCCAUAUUUUGAUACUGCCAGUAACCAGCUGUUACUAAGCUUCCAGAUAAUCAGGUCUCGCUCUCCUUGCAUGUAGAAAGAAGUGUGAAUGGCUAUGGAUUUUAGCACCCUUGCUGCUCACGCUGUCCAGCAUCCAAGAGAGAUCACAGGCAGAAGAUGCCCUUACUGGACAAACUCACUCCUGCAAUAAUGAGAAGACAAGAAAGUUCCAUGCCAGUGGCUGGAUGUCACACAAGUUUCAGCAACCCACUUAUCAUUUUGUUCAGUUUGUGGGACAAAUGUCAUCGGUUGUGACAGGAUCUUGGGCUUCACAAGCAUUGCUGACAGCCAAAACACUCCCAGCUCCCUUCACAGGAUGUGGCCGUGAUAGUGGCUUUAUAAUGAUGGGGUUCAAGAACAACUAAAUGUAACUGAAAUAAAUGGAAAUUUACAAUUUU